UACAGAGGGUGCGAGCGUUAAUCGGAAUUACUGGGCGUAAAGCGUGCGUAGACGGUUAUCUAAGUCGGAUGUGAAAGCCCCGGGCUCAACCUGGGAAGUGCACUCGAUACUGCUUGGCUAGAGUGUCGGAGAGGUUGGUGGAAUUCUCGGUGUAGAGGUGAAAUUCGUAGAUAUCGAGAGGAACACCGGUGGCGAAGGCGGCCAACUGGACGAACACUGACGCUGAGACACGAAAGCGUGGGGAGCAAACAGG
RNAcentral lists this ribosomal RNA (253 nucleotides) under uncultured bacterium. Its description in RNAcentral is "partial 16S ribosomal RNA". It matches the Rfam family "Bacterial small subunit ribosomal RNA", at positions 524 to 776 of the family's 1533-position model. The record is from RNAcentral.